AUGAAAUCUCAUGCAAUUAAGGAUUUACACUAUAAAUGAUAUUUGAAAGUCCUUUCAAAUUACACUCACAGCUACUUGCCUAAAGGUUUGUGCUACUUUAAGAGAAGUUUCAGACAUCACUCGCAUUGUAAAUCCUUAAUAAUCCUUGUUGUGCUUGCAUUCAUACGAUUACAUGUACCUAUACAAGAAUUUUUGAGAGAUAAUUUUCUAUUAAUAACGUAUCAGCUGGUUUGAGGAAAGUCUGUUUACAGAAGCACUGCACUGUACUUGUGAGGAGACCCCAGAUCAAGAGUGUUUGCCAGUGAUUGUCGUGCUUUUAUGACCGCAGUGUGAAGUCAUGAUUUGGCAUAUUAUUUCAAGGGGCGUUUACGUAUUUACUGGAGAUCCUAGCGUGGAAAUCUUUAUAUAACUUUAUCUGUAAGUUCUGGCCAGACUGUCUUCAGACAAUCUGCAGAAAGCCGCCCACAAACAAACAGUCAGUUUCUUUAGCACUCUUCACAAACGUAUACGCUACUUAACAAUUUUAAGAUUUGCGGAGAAAUCUGAAAUCAGGAACUUUAAAAGAUGAUCUCUAUUAUUGACGAAAAGACGUGUUUUGACUAAUUGUUAGGCCUUUUAUUACUUCCAAAAUUUAUUCAAUACAGUGAGACCAUUACCAUCUUUGUUAACUGGUUACUGCAAAUUUAAUGUACAACGACUAAUAGCACUGCAAAAAACGUACUUGCAGGGACAAUACUUUUAAAUAAGUGUGCAUCAAAAUCUGAAACAUUUAUGUACAUCUUUACAUUGCAGCCUUCACCAGGAAGUAAUUGCUCAGAGGGCCUUAGACAGGAGGCUAACAGAAGAACUUGUGCGAUUUAAGGCAUCCAUUAGCUCUUUGACCAGUGAACUUGCUUCAGUUAAAGCUCACGAUCGAGAGGUUACUCAGCAGGCUAGAUACGCCCAAGAUGAGCUUCAAGAAGCCCUUGAAGAAUCUGAAAAGAAUGCAAGGUGAGCUCCAUAUACUUCCACGAGUAAUGCAACGUUAAAUUUUAUCCCAUCGGUUGUAUGAAACGUAACUGAACUCCAUGGCUCGUGGUAAUUUUUAUGGAUCUUUGGUAAAUGUCUGUGUCCUUAGAAUUUCCGUAUUGUUCAACUCCAAACAAAUUGUUGCCCUUUUUUCACUGUAAGUUCACGUCUGUAAGGGUGGAACAAAGAUUGCUCUUAACAGAAACGGCUGCAUUUCUGUCAACUGAAUCGAACUGAGAAACAGAUGGGAAGAAACCACACAAGCCCGGCCAUCAAGAGCACAAACAUUCAGAGUAUUUUGUGUUAUUUUCACUCGUCCGCACAAAUUCACAAAUGAUGAGGGACAAACAAUAUCUAGAUGGUAUGGGGACAAUUUCCUGAAGGGAAACUAUGACAAGUACAAUGCAAUGUUGAUAAAUAGAGGGAAAAACAGCGACCAUUUCAUAAAUGUAAACAUUGAUGGAUAUACCAUCAAGUCCACCCCAGACCUCAA
Molecule: long non-coding RNA, 1501 nt
Organism: Orbicella faveolata
Lineage: Eukaryota; Metazoa; Cnidaria; Anthozoa; Scleractinia; Merulinidae
Source: RefSeq, a predicted model, not a curated record